UUCAGUUUAGGGUUUAAAACCCUAAUGCUGACUAAAGGAAAAAGUUCAGUUUAGGGUUUAAAACCCUAAUGCUGACUGAAUGGAAAAAGUUCAGUUUAGGGUUUAAAACCCUAAUGCUGACUAAAAUGGAAAAAGUUCAGUUUAGGGUUUAAAACCCUAAUGCUGAUUAAAGGAAAAAGUUCAGUUUAGGGUUUAAAACCCUAAUGCUGAUUAAAGGAAAAAGUUCAGUUUAGGGUUUAAAACCCUAAUGCUGACUAAAGGAAAGAGUUCAGUUUAGGGUUUAAAACCCUAAUGCUGACUGAAUGGAAAAAGUUCAGUUUAGGGUUUAAAACCCUAAUGCUGACUGAAGGAAAGAGUUCAGUUUAGGGUUUAAAACCCUAAUGCUGACUGAAUGGAAAAAGUUCAGUUUAGGGUUUAAAACCCUAAUGCUGACUGAAUGGAAAAAGUUCAGUUUAGGGUUUAAAACCCUAAUGCUGAUUAAAGGAAAAAGUUCAGUUUAGGGUUUAAAACCCUAAUGCUGACUAAAGGAAAGAGUUCAGUUUAGGGUUUAAAACCUAAAACCCUAAUGCUGACUGAGAGGAAAAAGUUCAGUUUAGGGUUUAAAACCCUAAUGCUGAUUGAAGAAAAGAGUUCAGUUUAGAGUUUAAAACCCUAAUGCUGACUGAAGGGAAAAAUUCAGUUUAGGGUUUAAAACCCUAAUGCUGACUAAAGGAAAGAGUUCAGUUUAGGGUUUAAAACCCUAAUGCUGACUGAAGGAAAGAGUUCAGUUUAGGGUUUAAAACCCUAAUGCUGACUGAAGAAAAGAGUUCAGUUUAGGGUUUAAAACCCUAAUGCUGACUAAAGGAAAGAGUUCAGUUUAGGGUUUAAAACCCUAAUGCUGACUAAAGGAAAAAGUUCAGUUUAGGGUUUAAAACCCUAAUGCUGACUAAAGGAAAGAGUUCAGUUUAGGGUUUAAAACCCUAAUGCUGACUGAAUGGAAAAAGUUCAGUUUAGGGUGUAAAACCCUAAUGUUGACUGAAGGAAAGAGUUCAGUUUAGGGUUUAA
This 1044-nucleotide long non-coding RNA is filed under the name Nicotiana tabacum (common tobacco). Its description in RNAcentral is "long non-coding RNA (NTAB_LNC001160)". The record is from RNAcentral. Lineage: Eukaryota; Viridiplantae; Streptophyta; Magnoliopsida; Solanales; Solanaceae.